RNAcentral lists this ribosomal RNA (250 nucleotides) under uncultured prokaryote. RNAcentral's name for it is "partial 16S ribosomal RNA". It matches the Rfam family "Bacterial small subunit ribosomal RNA", at positions 525 to 775 of the family's 1533-position model. The record is from RNAcentral.
ACGUAGGAGGCGAGCGUUAUCCGGAUUCACUGGGCGUAAAGCGCGUGCAGGCGGUUCGGUAAGUUGGGCGUGAAAUCUCCCGGCUCAACUGGGAGAGGUCGUUCAACACUACCGGACUUGAGAGCGAUAGAGGAAAAUGGAAUUCCCGGUGUAGUGGUGAAAUGCGUAGAUAUCGGGAGGAACACCGGUGGCGAAGGCAGCCAUCUGGCCUGUCCUGACGCUGAGACGCGAGAGCGUGGGGAGCAAACAG